Molecule: ribosomal RNA, 436 nt
Filed under: uncultured bacterium
Lineage: Bacteria
Description: bacterial SSU rRNA
Rfam family: Bacterial small subunit ribosomal RNA
Source: RNAcentral
CCGAAAGGUAGGAGUGUUCGUAAGGGAGUGCGGAGACAGGUGGUGCAUGGCUGUUGUCAGCUCGUGUCGUGAGAUGUUGGGUUAAGUCUCGCAACGAGCGCAACCUUCACCCUUUGUUGCCACCAGGUUAUGCUGGGUACUCUAGGGGAACUGUCUCGGUCAACGGGGAGGAAGGUGGGGACGACGUCAAGUCAUCAUGUUUCUUACGUCCUGGGCUACACACGUGCUACAAUGGCUGGUACAGAGGGAUGCUAGACUGCGAGGUGGAGCUAAACCUAAAAAGCCGGUCUAAGUUCAGAUUGGAGUCUGCAACUCGACUCCAUGAAGGAGGAAUCGCUAGUAAUCGCGUAUCAGCAUGACGUGGUGAAUACGUUUUUGGGCCUUGUACACACCGUCUGUCACACCACGAAAGCCAGCUGUACUCGAAGUCGCUGAG